GAAACUCGCCUACAUGAAGCUGGAGUUACUAGUAAUCGCAGAUCAGCAUACUGCCGUGAAUACGUUCCCGGGCCUUGUACACACCGCCCGUCAAACCAUGAGAGUCGCCAACACCCGAAGUCCGCUUUGCGGCCUAAGGUGGGGAGAUGAUUGGGGUUAAGUCGUAACAAGGUAUC
Molecule: ribosomal RNA, 176 nt
Filed under: uncultured bacterium
Lineage: Bacteria
Description: partial 16S ribosomal RNA
Rfam family: Bacterial small subunit ribosomal RNA
Source: RNAcentral